Molecule: ribosomal RNA, 495 nt
Filed under: uncultured bacterium
Lineage: Bacteria
Description: partial 16S ribosomal RNA
Rfam family: Bacterial small subunit ribosomal RNA
Source: RNAcentral
UGAACGCUGGCGGCGUGCCUCAUACAUGCAAGUCGAGCGACCGGACGAGAAGCUUGCUUCUCUGAUGUUAGCGGCGGACGGGUGAGUAACACGUGGAUAACCUACCUAUAAGACUGGGAUAACUUCGGGAAACCGGAGCUAAUACCGGAUAAUAUUUUGAACCGCAUGGUUCAAAAGUGAAAGACGGUCUUGCUGUCACUUAUAGAUGGAUCCGCGCUGCAUUAGCUAGUUGGUAAGGUAACGGCUUACCAAGGCAACGAUGCAUAGCCGACCUGAGAGGGUGAUCGGCCACACUGGAACUGAGACACGGUCCAGACUCCUACGGGAGGCAGCAGUAGGGAAUCUUCCGCAAUGGGCGAAAGCCUGACGGAGCAACGCCGCGUGAGUGAUGAAGGUCUUCGGAUCGUAAAACUCCGUUAUUAGGGAAGAACAUAUGUGUAAGUAACUGUGCACAUCUUGACGGUACCUAAUCAGAAAGCCACGGCUAACUACGUG